RNAcentral lists this long non-coding RNA (1245 nucleotides) under Taeniopygia guttata (zebra finch). Its description in RNAcentral is "lncRNA (ENSTGUG00000022857.1)". The record is from RNAcentral. Lineage: Eukaryota; Metazoa; Chordata; Aves; Passeriformes; Estrildidae.
AUGUCCCCAAAAAAAUGUCCAAAAAAUCCCAAAAUAUUGCCAAAAAAAAAAUCUCAAAAAAUCCCAAAAUUACCAAAAAUAUCCAAAAAUGUCCCAAAAUGUCCCCAAAAAAAACCAAAAAUGUCCCCAAAAAAUCCCAAAAUGUCCCGAAAAAAUCUUCAAAAAUCCCCAAAAAUCCUUAAAAAAUCCCCAAAAACUCCCCAAAAAAACCCCAAAAAAUCUCCAAAAAAUCCCAAAAAAUCCCAAAAUGUCCCAAAAAAUCCCAAAUCUCCCCAAAAUGUCCCAAAAUGUCCCAAAUUUGCCCAAAUCUCCCAGAUCGGGACCUGGCCGGGGAUCCGUCGGCGCCGCGGCUGCGGGAACUGCUCCGGACAUUCUGCAUGUUCCACUUCGACCUCGGGUGAGAAUUUCGGGCCGGGCCCGGAGGGGCUGCGCAGGAAUUUGGGGCUUUUGGGGGCGCUGCUGGAGCAGCUGAACCCCGACCUCGUCCCGCUGCUGGCCCAGCGGUGGCCGCGCCGUUGCUGCUCUCGGUGGCUCCAGUUCCGUUUCCAGCGGCUGCUGGGACAGGAGGGGACAGAGCGGCUCUGGGAGGUACCGGGGACAGCGGGGACAGCGGGGACAUUGGUGGGGACAUCAAUGGGGACACUGGGGACAGCGGGGACAUUGGGGACAUUGGGGACAUCAAUGGGGACAUUGGGGACAUUAAUGGGGACAUGGGGACACUGGGGAGAUUGGGGACAUUGGGGACAUCGGGGACAUCGGGGGGAUUUGGGGACAUUGGAGACAUUGGGGGACAUUGGGGACAUUGGGGAUAUUGGGGACAUUUGGGAACAUUUUGGGGACAUUUUGGGAGGUUUUUGGGACAUUGGGGACAUUUGGGACAUUACGGGGACAUUGGGGAUAUUGGGGACAUUGGGGGCAUUGGGGACAUUUGGGACACUUUGGGGACAUUUUGGGACAUUUUGGGAGAUUUGGGGACAUUUUGGGGCAUUGGGGACAUUGGGGACAUUUUGGGGAAUUUGGGACAUUGGGACAUCAAUGGGGACAUUUUGGGGUGUCUUUGGGGUGGUUUUGAGGGGAUUUGGGGACAUUUGGGGACAAUUUGGGGACAAUUUGGGGGGAUUGGGGACAUUGGGGACAUUGGAGACAUUUGGGGACAUUUUGGGUGGGUUUGGGGACCUUUUGGGGACAUUUUGGGGACAAUUUUGGGACAUUUGGGGACAUUUGGGACAUUCAGGGCAGCUUUGA